GUUUAGUAUAUGGACGUGAGAAAGUUAAGUAGUACUACAUUGUUCCACUAUACUACUUAUACUGGAGUUUUCCUCAGGUUUUUUUAUCAGGUCACUGGAGCAUAGAAGCAGGAGUAUGGAGUUCAUCAGGUCAGCUGAUUUGUGUUUUCUAUUAAAAGACAGUUUAAUUCAGUUGUUAUCAUGCCGCCAGAGACCAGGGGCCUCAUGUAUAAACAGUGCGUACGCACAGAAAUGUUGCGUAAGAACGUUUCCAUGUUCAAAUCUCGAUGUAUAAAACCUAAACUUGGCAUAAAGCCAUGCACAUUUCCACGGUAGCUCAUACCCUGGCAUACGCAAGUUCUCCGCUCAGUUUUGCAGACUGGCGGCACCCAGCGUCAAAGCAGUGCUACUGUCCCUGUGUGGUUACCCUUUCUUUUUCAGAUCCACAUCCCUGACGCGGCUUUAUAACUACACUGAAAUUAACCGCAUAUUGUUUAUUAGUUUAAUGCAUCUGAUUGUAAUUAACCAGUAACAAUAUAAUGGUCCACAGAAUGGUCAAACUAUUCCAAAUACCAUAACUGCUUUAGCAUUGUUACUCUCACUGCACCUUCUUCUUCUUCUUUCAGCUGCUCCCGUUAGAGGUUGCCGCAGUGGAUCAUCUUUUUCCAUAUUACUCUCACUGCACCACUCGGAGCAGCUAAUUGGAAAGAGGAUUAUCGGUAUACAGCAUCAAGCACAUGCUGCCUCAGCCAUGCUUCCUAAUUUGAACUGCUUCUCACACAGCAAACGCUUCAAAACCUUUCCUGUACGGACCUCGUGGUUCAGAAAGAGUUUCAUCCCAACAGCUCUAAACGCAAUCAAUCAGUUCAUCAAGUGCUCCUUACAGAACUGUUUGUACUUAUAAGUACAAUUACCUCACUGUAAACUUGUGAUACGGUUAUAAUAUUGCACAACCUGAGCCACUUUAUAAAGCGUGUAUUUACAUAUGAUGACAAUAUCAUUUUUAAGAUGACAUGCAGCAAAAUAUGUUUAUUAUGUUAUACAGAUAAAACUUUAACUUCAUUUAAAUAAUCUAUAUUGUUAAUAAUUAAAGGACACGGUGUUGCUACGGUAGCACGGACUGU
Long non-coding RNA from Erpetoichthys calabaricus (reedfish), 1103 nucleotides. RefSeq lists it as uncharacterized. The transcript has 3 exons. Lineage: Eukaryota; Metazoa; Chordata; Cladistia; Polypteriformes; Polypteridae. The record is from RefSeq and is a predicted model, not a curated record.